Molecule: ribosomal RNA, 163 nt
Filed under: Strobilomyces strobilaceus
Lineage: Eukaryota; Fungi; Basidiomycota; Agaricomycetes; Boletales; Boletaceae
Description: 5.8S ribosomal RNA
Rfam family: 5.8S ribosomal RNA
About the family: 5.8S ribosomal RNA (5.8S rRNA) is a component of the large subunit of the eukaryotic ribosome. It is transcribed by RNA polymerase I as part of the 45S precursor that also contains 18S and 28S rRNA.
Source: RNAcentral
ACAACUUUCAGCAACGGAUCUCUUGGCUCUCGCAUCGAUGAAGAACGCAGCGAAUCGCGAUAUGUAAUGUGAAUUGCAGAUUUCCAGUGAAUCAUCGAAUCUUUGAACGCACCUUGCGCUCUCCGGUACUCCGGAGAGCAUGCCUGUUUGAGUGUCAUUCGAA